UACGGGGGGAGCAAGCGUUGUUCGGAUUUACUGGGCGUAAAGGGCGCGUAGGCGGUCAGCACAAGUCAGUUGUGAAAUCUCCGGGCUUAACCCUGGAAAGGCCGUGGAAACUGAAGAGCUAGAGUGCAGUAGGGGUAGAGGGAAUUCCCGGUGUAGCGGUGAAAUGCGUAGAGCUCGGGAAGAACAUCGGUGGCGAAAGCGCUCUGCUGGACUGCAACUGACACUCAGGGACGAAAGCUAGGGGAGCGAAUGGG
RNAcentral lists this ribosomal RNA (254 nucleotides) under uncultured bacterium. RNAcentral describes it as "partial 16S ribosomal RNA". It matches the Rfam family "Bacterial small subunit ribosomal RNA", at positions 524 to 776 of the family's 1533-position model. The record is from RNAcentral.